This is an unclassified non-coding RNA of Vigna unguiculata (cowpea), 3282 nucleotides long. The record is from RefSeq and is a predicted model, not a curated record. NCBI's taxonomy places the organism in Eukaryota, Viridiplantae, Streptophyta, Magnoliopsida, Fabales, Fabaceae.
ACAAAGAGAGUGAUGCCGUGGUAGAAUCUCCGCGUCCUCUGAGCAAGAAAGCAAGCUAGCGAGUGCAGAAACAAACCCUAAAGCCCUAAUCAAAGUGAGCAAUUGGUAAAUCGCAAUUGGACCGCCACUCUGGCAUUGGGUGAAGUGAGAAGCGCGAUAAAUGGGUGCGAGUCGAAAGCUCCAGGGAGAGAUAGAUCGUGUUCUCAAGAAGGUUCAGGAAGGUGUUGAAGUCUUCGAUAGCAUCUGGAACAAGGUUUACGACACGGACAAUGCUAACCAGAAGGAGAAAUUUGAAGCAGACCUCAAGAAGGAGAUUAAGAAGCUACAGAGAUAUAGAGACCAAAUCAAGACAUGGAUUCAGUCCAGUGAGAUCAAGGACAAGAAGGUUAGUGCCUCGUAUGAGCAAGCUUUGGUGGAUGCGCGUAAGCUAAUUGAACGAGAAAUGGAAAGAUUUAAGAUAUGUGAGAAGGAAACAAAGACCAAAGCGUUUUCUAAAGAAGGCUUAGGUCAGCAGCCCAAGACUGAUCCGAAAGAGAAGGCUAAAUCAGAGACAAGGGACUGGUUAAACAAUGUGGUUGGAGAGUUAGAAUCACAGAUUGAUAACUUUGAAGCAGAGCUUGAAGGGCUUUCUGUUAAGAAAGGAAAGAACAGGCCACCCAGAUUGACACAUCUAGAGACAUCAAUUACUCGGCACAAGGCUCAUAUAAAAAAAUGUGAAUUCAUUUUGAGGCUACUAGAUAAUGAUGAAUUAAGUCCUGAGCAAGUUAAUGAUGUUAAAGAUUUCUUGGAUGACUAUGUUGAGCGUAAUCAGGAGGAUUUUGAUGAGUUUAGUGAUGUCGAUGAACUGUACAGUUCAUUACCUUUAGACAAGGUGGAGACCCUAGAAGAUCUUGUUACAAUUCCCACUGGUCUUUCUAAGGUGGCACCUAGUCUUGGCGUGAAAAAUUCUUCAGCAGUCUCAACAUCACAAUCAGCAUCAGCAUCUGCAUCACAAACAUCUGAGCAAGCUGACGACACAGCAUCCCAGGAUAGCAAUUCUGACAAUGUUGCCAAAACACCACCUCCUAAAAGUGGUGGAAUUGGUUCUACUGCUUCAACUCCUACUGGCAACCACACUUCUCCGAUUUCUGUGAAUGUUUCUAGUCAUACACUGUCUAGUCCACCUGCUGUUGCAGCCAUACCUAGUUCAAAUUCCGUGCGGAAUGUCUUGGAGAGUAGUAAUGUUACCAAUUCAUCUUCUGUAAAUCAGUCUACGUCUACAAAGGAAGAAGACAUUAAUAGCUUCCCUAGCAGGAGACCGUCUCCAUCACUUUCUGAUGCGACACUCUUGAGGGGAAGAAACUCUCUAUCAAAUCAAGCAACAGCCAGCAUCCCUCUUGGUUCUGCAAACAUAGUCCCUAGCAAUGGGGCCCUGGGAUCAGUCCCUUCAGCUUCUGAAAUAGCUAAAAGGAACAUGUUGGCAGCUGAUGAUAGACUUGGAAGUAGUGCGAUGGUGCAGCCUCUUGUAUCCCCGCUAAGUAAUAGAUUGAUCUUGCCUCAGGCAGCAAAGGCUAAUGAUGGAACUGUUUCAGUAGACUCUGGUGCUGUUAAUGAUGCUGCUGCAGCUGUAUCUGGGAGAGUUUUCUCCCCUUCUGUGGUUCCUGGCAUGCAAUGGAGACCAGGAAGUCCCUUUCAGAAUCAGAAUGAUGCGGGCCAGCUUCGUGGAAGAACUGAAAUAGCUCCUGAUCAAAGGGAAAAGUUUUUACAGAAGUAUCAGCAAGUGCAACAAGGGCACGGUACCCUUCUUAAUAUGCCUUCUCUUGUUGGGGGAAACCAUAAGCAGUUUUCUGCCCAGCAACAAAACCCCCUUUUGCAACAGUUUAACUCUCAUGGCUCAUCUGUUUCUUCUCAAUCUGGUAUUGGACUUGGGGUCCAGUCCACUAGUCUCAGUGGUAUUUCUUCUGCAUCACUACAGCAGCCACCCAAUUCUGUCCAUUCCCCCUCUAGUCAACAGUCACUGAUGCCAGGUGUUUCUAAAGAUUCAGACGGUGGCAAUUCUAAGGGUGAAGAACAGCAGCAACAUCAGAACUUUACUGAUGAGCCAACAACUGAAUCUACUGCUAGCACUGCGAUUGGCAAGAAUCUCAUAAAUGAAGAUGAUUCAAAAUCAGCAUAUGCUGUAGAUUCGCCUGUAGGAGUGUCUGCCUCUCUUUCAGAAUCUGCUCAAACUUCCAGAGAUAUUGAUUUGUCUCCGGGCCAACCAUUACAAUCCAAUCAACCUACUGGCAACCUUGGUGUCAUUGGUAGAAGAAAUGGUGCUGAACAUGGAGCAAUUGGUGAUAGUUUUAGUGCAUCCAGUGUUAGUUCUGGUGGAGUGCGUGAUCAGUUGUAUAAUUUGCAAAUGCUUGAGGCAGCCCACUUCAAAAUUCCCCUACCCAAAGACUCUGAACGUCCCAGGACUUAUACGCCUAAGCAUCCGACAAUUACACCUCCAAGUUAUCCUCAAGUACAGUCACCUAUUGUUAAUAAUCCUGCCUUUUGGGAGAGAGUGGGUCUGGAACCAUUUGGCACUGAUACUCUAUUCUUUGCAUUUUAUUACCAACAGAAUACUUACCAACAAUAUUUGGCUGCAAAGGAGUUAAAGAAGCAGUCUUGGAGAUACCACAGAAAGUAUAACACUUGGUUUCAGCGGCAUGAAGAGCCCAAAGUUGCCACUGAUGAAUAUGAGCAGGGAACUUAUGUGUACUUUGAUUUCCAUAUUGCAAAUGAUGACAUGCAACAUGGAUGGUGUCAAAGAAUUAAGACUGAAUUCACUUUUGAGUACAAUUAUCUUGAAGAUGAUCUCCUUGUAUAAACGACGCCAUCCGGUAUUGCGAGAUGCUUGGAAUUCUUGACCAGAAAGUUAUUUAUUCAAUGCACAUCGUGACUAGCAGUUUAUUAGGCUCCCAUCCUUUAUGAAAGCAGUGCGUUUGUAUCAUCUUCUUCAUACUAAUUUUCGUAGAUUAAUUGCGACCUUAAAGGUGAGGUAAUCUAGUCUCCAAUUAACUAGAGAUAUGACUAAAAUAAAACAUGGACAAUCUUCAAACAUACAAGCUAAUUUCAUAAGAUUCAACCCAAAUUCUAUGAAGCAUUAUGUACUCCGAUGGAUGAACUGUUAUCGGACUAAGAAUUUAACUUUCAUCAUGGUCUUACUGGACAGUGACAACAGUACAGAUGGUGGUGGCCAGACUUUCGAUGGAGCCAGAAUCACAUAUUUCUAUUGCCAUCUGAAUUGUCAAAAUCAGGAGUGGAAUUGAACUAAGA